ACAAACUUGGUCAUUUAGAGGAAGUAAAAGUCGUAACAAGGUUUCCGUAGGUGAACCUGCGGAAGGAUCAUUAUUGAAAUGUUUUGAAGGGGAUUGUUGCUGGCCUAUAACAAGGCAUGUGCACGUCUUCUUUCAAUCUAUUCAUCCACCUGUGCAUCUUUUUGUAGGAGCCCUGUUAGGAUGGUUGAAUGGGGUCUAUUACUUCUGUGUAGGCCUUGUUGACAGUCCUGGGGCUUCUAUGUCUCACAAACUCUAAUGAAUGUAUCUGAAUGUCAUUUAUUGGGACUUAACUGGCCCUCUAAACUUAUACAACUUUCAGCAACGGAUCUCUUGGCUCUCGCAUCGAUGAAGAACGCAGC
RNAcentral lists this unclassified non-coding RNA (359 nucleotides) under uncultured fungus. Its description in RNAcentral is "partial contains small subunit ribosomal RNA, internal transcribed spacer 1, and 5.8S ribosomal RNA". The stretch from base 1 to 73 matches the Rfam family "Eukaryotic small subunit ribosomal RNA", at positions 1759 to 1831 of the family's 1831-position model. Lineage: Eukaryota; Fungi. The record is from RNAcentral.